GACGAACGCUGGCGGCGUGCUUAACACAUGCAAGUCGAACGCAGUGGCGGACGGGAGAGUAACGCGUAAUCGAACUGCCCUUCAGAGGGGGACAACAGUUGGAACAGACUGCUAAUACCGCAUAAGGAGGGAGGGGAUUGCGUUUGAUUAGCUAGUGGGGGGGGAAACGCCCCACCAAGGCGAUGAUCAGUAGCCGACUUGAGAGUUUGAACGGCAACAGUGGGCCUGGUACACGGCCCAGACUCCUACGGGAGGCAGCAGUGGGGAAUCUUCCGCAAUGGAGGAAAGUCUGACGGAGCAACGCCGCGUGAGUGAUGACGGCCUUCGGGUCGUAAAGCUCGGUUAAUCAGGACGCGGUACCGGAAUAGAAAGCCACGGCUAACUACGUGCCAGCAGCCGCGGUAAUUC
This 408-nucleotide ribosomal RNA is filed under the name uncultured bacterium. RNAcentral describes it as "partial 16S ribosomal RNA". It matches the Rfam family "Bacterial small subunit ribosomal RNA", at positions 28 to 526 of the family's 1533-position model. The record is from RNAcentral.